UACGGGGGGGGCAAGCGUUGUUCGGAAUUACUGGGCGUAAAGGGCUCGUAGGCGGCCAACUAAGUCAGACGUGAAAUCCCUCGGCUUAACCGGGGAACUGCGUCUGAUACUGGAUGGCUUGAGAUUGGGAGAGGGAUGCGGAAUUCCAGGUGUAGCGGUGAAAUGCGUAGAUAUCGUCUGGAACGCCAAAGGUGAAAACAGACUGCUGGGAGUGUGCUGACGCUGAGACACGAAAGCCAGGGGAGCAAACGGG
Molecule: ribosomal RNA, 253 nt
Filed under: uncultured bacterium
Lineage: Bacteria
Description: partial 16S ribosomal RNA
Rfam family: Bacterial small subunit ribosomal RNA
Source: RNAcentral